This 205-nucleotide long non-coding RNA is filed under the name Mytilus galloprovincialis (Mediterranean mussel). The record is from RNAcentral. Lineage: Eukaryota; Metazoa; Mollusca; Bivalvia; Mytilida; Mytilidae.
GUGCAUUUUUCCUUUGAUCUUUUUUUGUGAUAAUUUUUCAUAUCAUGCUACUCGCUUGAGAUGGAAAAUUAUCGCUAGAAACUAAGCAGGCACGUGGCGUUGAUAACGAAAUUGACAUGAAAUUGACAACGUCGUCAUAGGUAAAAUAGCGAUAAACAGAUUAUCAGUGAUCAUCUCAACUCGAUUGCCUUUCUCGCUUUCGCCG